Erinaceus europaeus (western European hedgehog) is the source of this 439-nucleotide long non-coding RNA. RefSeq lists it as uncharacterized. The record is from RefSeq and is a predicted model, not a curated record. The transcript has 3 exons. Lineage: Eukaryota; Metazoa; Chordata; Mammalia; Eulipotyphla; Erinaceidae.
UUUCUAGUCUGCUGCUGACAUUGGACAGAUCCAGGAACUGCAGUUACAGCUGGAGGAGGCUGUGAAGGAGAAGCACAAGCUCCAGGGACAACUGCAAGGGGCUCAGAUGCGUAUCCAGUUCCUGGAGCAAACCACCGUGGACCGCGCCAUUGUCAGCAGGCAGGAGGCGGCCAUCUGUGACCUGGAGAACAAGACCGAGUUCCAGAAAGUGCAGAUCAAGAGAUUUGAGGUCCUGGUGAUCCGGCUCCGGGACAGCCUGAUCAAGAUGGGUGAGGAGCUGUCCCAGGCCUCCACCGCCGAGGCCCAGCAGCGGGAGAACAGCCAGUAACUACCAGCGACGCCUGGGCGAGAUGAAGGUGGAGAUGGGGGAGCUGGUGCAGCGGGAGGCCGAGGCCAGCCGGCGGUGCCUGGAGCUGGUGAGUCCUCCCCCCUGGCAGGG